This 497-nucleotide ribosomal RNA is filed under the name uncultured bacterium. Its description in RNAcentral is "partial 16S ribosomal RNA". It matches the Rfam family "Bacterial small subunit ribosomal RNA", at positions 28 to 507 of the family's 1533-position model. The record is from RNAcentral.
GAUGAACGCUGGCGGCGUGCCUAAUACAUGCAAGUCGAGCGAACGGACGAGAAGCUUGCUUCUCUGAUGUUAGCGGCGGACGGGUGAGUAACACGUGGAUAACCUACCUAUAAGACUGGGAUAACUUCGGGAAACCGGAGCUAAUACCGGAUAAUAUUUUGAACCGCAUGGUUCAAAAGUGAAAGACGGUCUUGCUGUCACUUAUAGAUGGAUCCGCGCUGCAUUAGCUAGUUGGUAAGGUAACGGCUUACCAAGGCAACGAUGCAUAGCCGACCUGAGAGGGUGAUCGGCCACACUGGAACUGAGACACGGUCCAGACUCCUACGGGAGGCAGCAGUAGGGAAUCUUCCGCAAUGGGCGAAAGCCUGACGGAGCAACGCCGCGUGAGUGAUGAAGGUCUUCGGAUCGUAAAACUCUGUUAUUAGGGAAGAACAUAUGUGUAAGUAACUGUGCACAUCUUGACGGUACCUAAUCAGAAAGCCACGGCUAGCUACGUG